Molecule: long non-coding RNA, 3640 nt
Organism: Oncorhynchus masou masou (cherry salmon)
Lineage: Eukaryota; Metazoa; Chordata; Actinopteri; Salmoniformes; Salmonidae
Exons: 2
Source: RefSeq, a predicted model, not a curated record
GUUCCCCUGUAACAGACAUCUCCUCCUCCUCUAGAUGACUCUGUAGUGAAGGAAGGGGAGGUUCCCCCCUGUAACAGACAUCUCCUCCUCCUCUAGAUGACUCUGUAGUGAAGGAAGGGGAGGUUCCUCCCUGUAACAGACAUCUCCUCCUCCUCUAGAUGACUCUGUAGUGAAGGAAGGGGAGGUUCCUCCCUGUAACAGACAUCUCCUCCUCCUCUAGAUGACUCUGUAGUGAAGGAAGGGGAGGUUCCCCCCUGUAACAGACAUCUCCUCCUCCUCUAGAUGACUCUGUAGCGAAGGAAGGGGAGGUUCCCCACUGUAACAGACAUCUCCUCCUCCUCUAGAUGACUCUGUAGUGAAGGAAGGGGAGGUUCCCCCCUGUAACAGACAUCUCCUCCUCCUCUAGAUGACUCUGUAGUGAAGGAAGGGGGGGGGUUCCCCCCUUAACAGACAUCUCCUCCUCCUCUAGAUGACUCUGUAGUGAAGGAAGGGGAGGUUCCCCCCUGUAACAGACAUCUCCUCCUCUAGAUGACUCUGUAGUGAAGGAAGGGGAGGUUCCCCCCUGUAACAGACAUCUCCUCCUCCUCUAGAUGACUCUGUAGUGAAGGAAGGGGAGGUUCCCCCUUGUAACAGACAUCUCCUCCUCCUCUAGAUGACUCUGUAGUGAAGGAAGGGGAGGUUCCCCCCUGUAACAGACAUCUCCUCCUCCUCUAGAUGACUCUGUAGUGAAGGAAGGGGAGGUUCCCCCCUGUAACAGACAUCUCCUCCUCCUCUAGAUGACUCUGUAGUGAAGGAAGGGGAGGUUCCCCCCUGUAACAGACAUCUCCUCCUCCUCUAGAUGACUCUGUAGUGAAGGAAGGGGAGGUUCCCCCUGUAACAGACAUCUCCUCCUCCUCUAGAUGACUCUGUAGUGAAGGAAGGGGAGGUUCCCCCCUGUAACAGACAUCUCCUCCUCCUCUAGAUGACUCUGUAGUGAAGGAAGGGGGGGGGGACACACAGCCAACAGAUAGUUCAAUAUUCAAUACUGUUCAAUUGGUGACCCCUGGCAUUUCUAUGAAUUCUAAAAGAACCUUAUCCGAUAGAUUUUAAUCGUCUUAUGAUCACUAUCAAGGGUUUAUUAAAUGAAGUUGAUGCUGCUGCUAUUUAUGACUUUCCUUUGCCUUAUUAGAGACAGAGAGAGAGACAGAGAGAGACAGAGAGAGAGACAGAGAGAGAGACAGAGAGAGAGACAGAGAGAGAGACAGAGAGAGAGACAGAGAGAGACAGAGAGAGACAGAGAGAGAGACAGAGAGAGACAGAGAGAGACAGAGAGAGACAGAGAGAGACAGAGAGAGAGACAGAGAGAGAGACAGAGAGAGAGACAGAGAGAGAGACAGAGAGAGAGACAGAGAGAGAGACAGAGAGAGAGACAGAGAGAGAGACAGAGAGAGAGAGACAGAGAGAGAGAGAGAGACAGAGAGAGACAGAGAGAGAGAGACAGAGAGAGAGAGACAGAGAGAGACAGAGAGAGAGACAGAGAGAGAGACAGAGAGAGAGAGAGAGAGAGAGACAGACAGAGAGAGAGAGACAGAGAGAGACAGAGAGAGAGACAGAGAGAGAGAGACAGAGAGAGACAGAGAGAGAGACAGAGAGAGAGAGACAGAGAGAGACAGAGAGAGACAGAGAGAGACAGAGAGAGACAGAUAUCUAUGGUAAACACACAGUAAAGUAAUGACAUGCAGAACAGAUGCAUUCCCAGCAUGUGAAUAGUGUUUCAGGGGAUUAGUUUGAGCAAAGCGAGGCACAGAAUCUCUCAUCUUGAUCAAAUAAUAGUUGAAAAUAACUUGAAUACAUAGUUAUUUGAUAUGCAAGGUGAUCUCAAAGGCCGUGAAGUCUGCACAUAGUAAACUAAUUCCAAAAACCGUAAACACAGUCAACAUAUAUUAAACUAAUUCCCAAAGACCGUAAACACAGUCAACAUAUAUUAAACUAAUUCCCAAAGACCGUAAACACAGUCUGCACAUAGUAAACUAAUUCCCAAAGACCGUAAACACAGUCUGCACAUAGUAAACUAAUUCCCAAAGACCGUAAACACAGGCAACAUAUAGUAAACUAAUUCCCAAAGACUGUAAACUAAUUCCAAAGAUCGUAAACACAGUCUGCACAUAGUAAACUAAUUCCCAUAUUCUACUACUCUUCAGCACUUGGUUCUCUUAGCUUAGCACCAAUGGUUCCAUGUUCUGUCAGAACCCUCUGAACUGUUAGCUUAGCACCAAUGGUUCCAUGUUCUGUCAGAACCCUCUGAACUGUUAGCUUAGCACCAAUGGUUCCAUGUUCUGUUAGAACCCUCUGAACUGUUAGCUUAGCACCAAUGGUUCCAUGUUCUGUUAGAACCCUCUGAACUGUCACAGAACCAUAAAACGUAGAUAUGGAAUGAUCUUAGGUUGUCUGGGACUUGAUGUUCCAUGGCCGGCAUGCUGUCCUGUCCUGGGCAACGGGAGGGGCAGUCAUGACACGGUUGGGACUUGAUGUUCCAUGGCCGGCAUGCUGUCCUGUCCUGGGCAACGGGUGGGGCAGUCAUGACACGGUUGGGACUUGAUGUUCCAUGGCCGGCAUGCUGUCCUGUCCUGGGCAACGGGAGGGGCAGUCAUGACACGGUUGGGACUUGAUGUUCCAUGGCCGGCAUGCUGUCCUGGGCAACAGGAGGGGCAGUCAUGACACGGUUGGGACUUGAUGUUCCAUGGCCGGCAUGCUGUCCUGUCCUGGGCAACGGGUGGGGCAGUCAUGACACGGUUGGGACUUGAUGUUCCAUGGCCGGCAUGCUGUCCUGUCCUGGGCAACGGGAGGGGCAGUCAUGACACGGUUGGGACUUGAUGUUCCAUGGCCGGCAUGCUGUCCUGUCCUGGGCAACGGGUGGGGCAGUCAUGACACGGUUGGGACUUGAUUGAGCUUUCUGUUCUAUCAUCUUUUAAAAGCACGUAGGCAUUACUACCAUCGCUUCCCAAAUGGCACCCGAGCCAUUACAUAGUGCACAUUUGGGAUGCGGUCUACAUUUCUUUCAAAUGAAGGUUUGAAGGGGGUAACUACAUGAAGAACAUUAUUAAUAUAUAUAUUAUGUAUAAAUUUUCUAAGACCGACCACAAAUAAACGGUCCUUCACUGAGACGGAGAUGGCUGAAAACAGAAUGGGUUCUAUAAUAGAACUCUAAUGGUUCUGAACCAUAGGGUGGGUUCUCUAAUAGAACUCUAAUGGUUCUGAAUCAUAGGGUGGGUUCUAUAAUAUUACUCUAAUGGUUCUGAAUCAUAGGGUGGGUUCUCUAAUAGAACUCUAAUGGUUCUGAACCAAGGGUGGGUUCUAUAAUAUUACUCUAAUGGUUCUGAACCAUAGGGUGGGUUCUCUAAUAGAACUCUAAUGGUUCUGAAUCAUAGGGUGGGUUCUAUAAUAUUACUCUAAUGGUUCUGAACCAUAGGGUGGGUUCUCUAUUACUCUAAUGGUUCUAAACCAUAGGGUGGGUUCUGUAAGAGAACUCUAGUGGUUCUAGGGUCCUUCUGACUCUGUGCUCCUGUCUGGCUUCAUAGUAACUGCUUGUCAGAGCUUCUGUCAAGUCCUUUCCCAUCUGUUCCAUCUGUAUUGCAUGUCAAUAAAACACAUUUUGUCUGGA